AAAGCGCAUGUGCUGUGAGCUCGAUGAGUAGGGCGGGACACGUGGUAUCCUGUCUGAAUAUGGGGGGACCAUCCUCCAAGGCUAAAUACUCCUGACUGACCGAUAGUGAACCAGUACCGUGAGGGAAAGGCGAAAAGAACCCCGGCGAGGGGAGUGAAAAAGAACCUGAAACCGUGUACGUACAAGCAGUGGGAGCACCCUUUGGGGUGUGACUGCGUACCUUUUGUAUAAUGGGUCAGCGACUUAUAUUCUGUAGCAAGGUUAACCGAAUAGGGGAGC
RNAcentral lists this ribosomal RNA (279 nucleotides) under Salmonella enterica. RNAcentral's name for it is "partial 23S ribosomal RNA". It matches the Rfam family "Bacterial large subunit ribosomal RNA", at positions 382 to 666 of the family's 2925-position model. The record is from RNAcentral. Lineage: Bacteria; Pseudomonadati; Pseudomonadota; Gammaproteobacteria; Enterobacterales; Enterobacteriaceae.